RNAcentral lists this ribosomal RNA (433 nucleotides) under uncultured bacterium. Its description in RNAcentral is "partial 16S ribosomal RNA". It matches the Rfam family "Bacterial small subunit ribosomal RNA", at positions 29 to 507 of the family's 1533-position model. The record is from RNAcentral.
AACGAACGCUGGCGGCAUGCCUAACACAUGCAAGUCGAACGAGACCUUCGGGUCUCGUGGCGCACGGGUGCGUAACGCGUGGGAACCUGCCCUUAGGUUCGGAAUAACUCCCCGCAAGGGGUGCUAAUACCGGAUAAUGUCUUCGGCCCAAAGAGUUAUCGCCUUUGGAUGGGCCCGCGUUGGAUUAGCUAGUUGGUAGGGUAAAAGCCUACCAAGGCGACGAUCCAUAGCUGGUCUGAGAGGAUGAUCAGCCACACUGGGACUGAGACACGGCCCAGACUCCUACGGGAGGCAGCAGUGGGGAAUAUUGGACAAUGGGCGAAAGCCUGAUCCAGCAAUGCCGCGUGAGUGAUGAAGGCCUUAGGGUUGUAAAGCUCUUUUACCCGGGAUGAUAAUGACAGUACCGGGAGAAUAAGCUCCGGCUAACUCCGUG